CAUUACACAAUAAAAUAUGAAGGCUGUACGCGGCUGUGCUCUCGGGCCAGUUUUGCGGAGGCUGAAUUAUUUAUUACCCUUGUCUUUUGCGCACUUGUUGUUUCCUGGGCGGGUUCGCCCGCCACCAGGACCACAUCAUAAACCUUUUUUAUGCAGUUGCAAUCAGCGUCAGUAUAACAAAUGUAAAUCAUUUACAACUUUCAACAACGGAUCUCUUGGUUCUGGCAUCGAUGAAGAACGCAGCGAAAUGCGAUACGUAGUGUGAAUUGCAGAAUUCAGUGAAUCAUCGAAUCUUUGAACGCACAUUGCGCCCUUUGGUAUUCCAAAGGGCAUGCCUGUUCGAGCGUCAUUUGUACCCUCAAGCUUUGCUUGGUGUUGGGCGUUUUUUGUCUUUGGUUGCCAAAGACUCGCCUUAAAAGGAUUGGCAGCCGGCCUACUGGUUUCGCAGCGCAGCACAUUUUUGCGCUUGCAAUCAGCAAAAGAGGACGGCAAUCCAUCAAGACUCCUUCUCACGUUUGACCUCGGAUCAGGUAGGGAUACCCGCUGAACUUAAGCAUAUCAAUAA
This 565-nucleotide unclassified non-coding RNA is filed under the name Curvularia muehlenbeckiae. Its description in RNAcentral is "sequence contains ITS1, 5.8S rRNA gene and ITS2". The stretch from base 196 to 349 matches the Rfam family "5.8S ribosomal RNA". The record is from RNAcentral. Lineage: Eukaryota; Fungi; Ascomycota; Dothideomycetes; Pleosporales; Pleosporaceae. RNAcentral also lists the same sequence under 1 other name.